AAGACUAUAGUCAAUAUUUAAUGACGUAUGAGUUGCAUUCAUAAAGAGUUCUUUGAACUAGUUUUA
This 66-nucleotide transfer RNA is filed under the name Myomenippe fornasinii. Its description in RNAcentral is "tRNA-Ala". The record is from RNAcentral. Lineage: Eukaryota; Metazoa; Arthropoda; Malacostraca; Decapoda; Menippidae.